UGAUCCAAAAGGCAAAAGGACAGAACAAACCAUACCUUCCCAUGAUUCGCGGGAACCACCUACUUCUAUGGAUAAGGCACCGGUUACUGGGAAGAAGCCAUCGAGAAGGAUGUCUACAAAAGGAAGCACUGGAACGAGAAAGUCUUCAAGGCUGACUCGUGUUUCUCAUGAUGUGGACACUCCUGCACUUUCUGUUGGCUGUAAUUCCAAAGAGGAAGAUAAAGAUGUCCCUGGAGUACAUACCACUGCUGUCGGCGGAAGAAGUAAACCUUCAAAGCCGAAGAAAAAUGUUUUUUUUGCUGUUGACACUACUGAGCUACCUGAUUCCAAUAAGGAAGAUAUGCAAGGAUUCAUUGAUGAACAGGUAAGUCAUGUACGUACAUUGCUAAAUAUUUUAUAAUCCAUAUGUAUAACUGUACUGUCUGCUUCGAUACAGUAUGGCGCUAAUAAUGAAAGUGAUUUUACGGCAAAUGAUGGAUUGGAUUCUUCGGCCGCUGAAGAAGAGAUAUUAGACACUGGAUUUUUAAUAGUUCCUUAUGCUGGAUCCACACAAUCCCAUCUGGUAUGUCGUCUACUAAUACUCUUAACAAUCUGUUUAAAUGGUGUACGUACAUAUUCGCUUAAGAAGUUAGUUAAACUAUGUUUCAGGAUAGAGGAAAUGUUGUUGUUGGUAAGACUGUCUUCUUAGGUUCAAUGUCUGGGACUGUCUAUGUUACACAGGAAGAGAGGCCUGUGGAAGAAGCUACUGUUGACACCGAGAUGGAAGAAGUUCUAUCUAAUGUCUCUGCAAGAGUUUCAGAGGUAGAUCUUCUGGUAAUCGUUAUAUACAGAUUUCCAUGACUAUAUGCAUAUAUAUUACAUUAAUUUCUCCACUUAUCUAACGCUUAACUCUAUGGUAGCCUAUGUUUCAGGAUAAUGGACCAAAGGAUGUUGCUGAACCUGGCUUAGUUGGUACCCAUACAAGGGCCGAUGAAAUAGCUGAUGCUGACAUAGAGAUGGUAGACAAUCCAUCAGGUUUACCUUCAACAUCUGCACAGGUAUGUGUUAGUCACUUGUUCUUUUUCCAUAUGUGUACGCCCAUAAGACUUUGAAAAUUAUUUUUGUUUCAGGAAGAAGCAAGAGAUGCCAGUGCAUCGACUGAAGCUAAUGGCAGCGAGUCAGAAGAAACUUAUGAGCCUUCUGAUGGAGAUACAACUCACAUACCUGGCACAAGUGUACGUACAUUUUUGUCACUAUGUUCUGUGUACAUAUAUAUUGUUUCAUACAUUACUAAAAAGUUUUUUUCCGAUGAUAAAUUCUACAGGUUGAGGCGGCAGGAGAAUCCAAAUUAGUGACAGGGAUGGAAGUUGAAAUACCUGAGAAACCCACAGUGAUCCCCCGUCACCAUUUCAAGUAGUUAACAAUGUAAGCUAACUCUUGCAACAAGU
RNAcentral lists this small RNA (1427 nucleotides) under Arabidopsis thaliana (thale cress). Its description in RNAcentral is "ATSL211050". The record is from RNAcentral. Lineage: Eukaryota; Viridiplantae; Streptophyta; Magnoliopsida; Brassicales; Brassicaceae.